Molecule: ribosomal RNA, 274 nt
Filed under: uncultured bacterium
Lineage: Bacteria
Description: partial 16S ribosomal RNA
Rfam family: Bacterial small subunit ribosomal RNA
Source: RNAcentral
AUACGAGGGGUGCAAGCGUUAAUCGGAAUUACUGGGCGUAAAGCGUUCGUAGGCGGUUUGUUAAGCAAGAUGUGAAAGCCCAGGGCUCAACCUUGGAACUGCAUUUUGAACUGGCAAACUAGAGUACUGUAGAGGGUGGUGGAAUUUCCAGUGUAGCGGUGAAAUGCGUAGAGAUUAGAAGGAACAUCAGUGGCGAAGGCGGCCACCUGGACAGAUACUGACGCUGAGGAACGAAAGCGUGGGGAGCGAACAGGAUUAGAAACCCUAGUAGUCC